Podarcis lilfordi (Lilford's wall lizard) is the source of this 291-nucleotide non-coding RNA. The record is from the annotation of a GenBank genome assembly. Lineage: Eukaryota; Metazoa; Chordata; Lepidosauria; Squamata; Lacertidae.
CUUAUGAGGAACGGCUAAGGGAGCUGGGCAUGUUUAGCCUGGAGAAGAGGAGGUUAAGGGGUGAUAUGAUAGCCAUGUUCAAAUAUAUAAAAGGAUGUCACAUAGAGGAGGGAGAAAGGUUGUUUUUCUGCUGCUCCAGAGAAGCGGACACGGAGCAAUGGAUCCAAACUACAAGAAAGAAGAUUCCACCUAAACAUUAGGAAGAACUUCCUGACAGUAAGAGCUGUUCGACAGUGGAAUUUGCUGCCAAGGAGUGUGGUGGAGUCUCCUUCUUUGGAGGUCUUUAAGCAG